GUUUCUUGUGCAAGAAGAAACUCCUUCAGGACAAGGAUACUUACAUGUAUGGUCACCUAGGUGCAUUUUGCUCACCUGAAUGCCGAGAAUAUCAGACGGAUUUGGAUGGGUUUGAUCAAGAAAUUGCUAAAGAAACAUCAGCAAGGUUGGAAACAGCAUUAGGAGGAAAGUUCUUCACAAAAGAAGUGCGGAAGCUGGGGUUUCGCUCUUAAGUAGUUUAAAGUAAUAUGGACUGAAAGUCCAUUGUUUGCUGCAGAAGUGCCUAGCUGUAAUGUCUUUGCUUCCAGCUUUCACUUUUGUUUACCAAAAGGGUUGUGUGACACUAUUUUUCCUCAUAGCUGAUAUGUAAAUUUUCAAUUUAUUGUUUUACAUUACCGAC
RNAcentral lists this unclassified non-coding RNA (379 nucleotides) under Hevea brasiliensis (rubber tree). Lineage: Eukaryota; Viridiplantae; Streptophyta; Magnoliopsida; Malpighiales; Euphorbiaceae. The record is from RNAcentral.